This 412-nucleotide unclassified non-coding RNA is filed under the name soil metagenome. RNAcentral describes it as "partial contains 5.8S ribosomal RNA, internal transcribed spacer 2, and large subunit ribosomal RNA". The stretch from base 1 to 122 matches the Rfam family "5.8S ribosomal RNA", at positions 35 to 154 of the family's 154-position model. The record is from RNAcentral.
GAUGAAGAACGUAGCGAAAUGCGAUACUUGGUGUGAAUUGCAGAAUCCCGUGAACCAUCGAGUCUUUGAACGCAAGUUGCGCCCGAAGCCGUCAGGCCGAGGGCACGCCUGCCUGGGCGUCACACGCCGUUGCCCCCCCGCGCCCCGCUCCCAACUCGUUGGGAGCGACCGCGGGGCGGGCUGAUGAUGGCCUCCCGUGCGCUCCGCCGCGCGGUUGGCCCAAAUACCGAGUCCCCGGCGACGUGCGCCACGACGAUCGGUGGUUGAGAGACCUCUGUCGCAAGUCGUGCGCGCCCGUCGCGUCACGCGGGCUCGCAUAGCGCCUCGCGCCGCACCCGGUGCGGAGCUUUCAACGCGACCCCAGGUCAGGCGGGGUUACCCGCUGAAUUUAAGCAUAUCAAUAAGCGGAGGA